UGAGUGGGAAAGAGGGUUAUCGGAUCUCAUCGCCGACCUCUCGUCCACGAAUUCUGAUAUCCACCUCUCUUCGCAUUGAUCUCCUCGCCACGCGAGCUCUGGAAGCUCCGAGAAGUCCCUGAUCAGAGAGCCAACUGAGAGAUUGAGCUGUUUGGUUUUGUCCGUGAUUUUCUUCGAAACUUGAAUCAGAAUUUUCAGUUUGCUGGAAAGUUUUGAUUGUCCACGAAAAUCUUGGUUUUCAGCGCCAAAUGCUGAUGAAGGACGUCAAUUAAAAGAAAAUGAAAAAAUGGAUGCACAUGAUUUGAUGCUGGCGUUUUCUUAAGGCAUGACUCCAAUGCAACACAGCAGAACUCUGCUGGCGUGGUUUUGUUUGUAUUACGGCUGUCUUGUAUAGCUGUAUAGAUUUGGUGUCUGGAUAGAUUUUACUCAUUUGGUGUCUGUAUUGGGUUUUGUUGGCAGCUGGGGUUUAAGCAUAUUUUCUUCUGGGGUUCAAUUGCAGAGAUAUGUACUCUAAGUUUACUCUGAAGGAAGUUUGCUGAAGUCUGCAAGGCCUCUCUAGUGGCUAUUAUGCUCAGUUGCUGAUUACACAUUUAUGUGUGAUGGGUACUUAAUAAUUCAAAGUACUUUUGUCAUGUUUUGAAUCAAAUAAUUACCCGAGUACCUCUCCAUAGACAUGUAUCUCGUUGAAUUCUAAUUAUUUUUCCCUACUUAUUGCUUUAUUUUAGUGCUGCUUAAUUAGUGCUUGUGCUUGAAAAGCAUG
Molecule: non-coding RNA, 760 nt
Organism: Corylus avellana
Lineage: Eukaryota; Viridiplantae; Streptophyta; Magnoliopsida; Fagales; Betulaceae
Source: RefSeq, a predicted model, not a curated record